RNAcentral lists this transfer RNA (71 nucleotides) under Neptunea subdilatata. Its description in RNAcentral is "tRNA-Gln". The record is from RNAcentral. Lineage: Eukaryota; Metazoa; Mollusca; Gastropoda; Neogastropoda; Buccinidae.
CUUACAAAGCGGGUGUUAGGGCAACGAAGAAUUUUGAUUUCUUAAGAGAGGUUCAGUUCCUCCUGGUAAGG